AUGGAUCAGCGGCCAAUCUGUCCGCGAGAUUGCCCCCUGCUAUACCAAUGCAUACCCAAGCAGCGACGCAAGACACGAACAGUGGCCGAUGGACUCAACGGGAACACUUGGGCCCGAGACAUCCAAGGAACCAUCGGGAUACACGAGAUUGGCCAAUACCUGAUGCUAUGGCAGGCGAUACAGCACUUCACCCUAUCGGAAGAAACUGACCGACUGCUUUGGAGAUGGACAACAAGCGCUACAUAUUCGACCCAAUCUUGCUAUGCAGCCACCUUCCAGGGAUCUACAUGCCGCCACUCGUGGAAGCUGAUUUGGAAGAGUUGGGCGCCACCCCGCGUCAAAUUCUUCCACUGGCUUGCCUACCAGGACCGAUGUUGGACGGCGACAAGACUUGCCAGCCGCGGCCUGUAG
Molecule: ribosomal RNA, 411 nt
Filed under: Triticum aestivum (bread wheat)
Lineage: Eukaryota; Viridiplantae; Streptophyta; Magnoliopsida; Poales; Poaceae
Description: partial small subunit ribosomal RNA
Source: RNAcentral